RNAcentral lists this ribosomal RNA (477 nucleotides) under uncultured Alteromonadaceae bacterium. RNAcentral's name for it is "bacterial SSU rRNA". It matches the Rfam family "Bacterial small subunit ribosomal RNA", at positions 30 to 505 of the family's 1533-position model. The record is from RNAcentral. Lineage: Bacteria; Pseudomonadati; Pseudomonadota; Gammaproteobacteria; Alteromonadales; Alteromonadaceae.
AUUGAACGCUGGCGGCAGGCCUAACACAUGCAAGUCGAGCGAGAAAGCCUUCGGGUGAGUAGAGCGGCGGACGGGUGAGUAAUGCAUGGGAAUCUGCCCAGUAGUGGGGGACAACAGUUGGAAACGACUGCUAAUACCGCAUACGCCCUACGGGGGAAAGUGGGGGACCUUCGGGCCUCACGCUACUGGAUGAGCCCAUGUCAGAUUAGCUAGUUGGUGGGGUAAAGGCCUACCAAGGCGACGAUCUGUAGCUGGUCUGAGAGGAUGAUCAGCCACACUGGGACUGAGACACGGCCCAGACUCCUACGGGAGGCAGCAGUGGGGAAUAUUGCACAAUGGGCGCAAGCCUGAUGCAGCCAUGCCGCGUGUGUGAAGAAGGCCCUAGGGUUGUAAAGCACUUUAAGCAGUGAGGAAAGGGUUAAGUUUAAUAGGCUUGAUCUGUGACGUUAACUGCAGAAUAAGCACCGGCUAACUCCG